CAGAGUUCUCGCCCUUACGGGUAGAUCUCCCACCCACUGUUAUCGUUACUAUCGUUGCUUUGGCGGGCCGCCGGGUCCCGCCCGGCCCCCGGCCCCGGCUGGGGCGCGCCCGCCAGAGGCCCUCUAAACUCUGAAUGUCAGUGUCGUCUGAGUACUAUAUAAUAGUUA
Molecule: unclassified non-coding RNA, 168 nt
Filed under: uncultured fungus
Lineage: Eukaryota; Fungi
Also listed under: 1 other name
Description: sequence contains ITS1, 5.8S rRNA gene
Source: RNAcentral